UACGUAGGGUGCAAGCGUUGUCCGGAAUUACUGGGCGUAAAGCGCGUGUAGGCUGCUUCGCAAGUCGGAUGUGAAAGCCCUGGGCUCAACCCAGGAAGUGCAUUCGAAACUGCAGAGCUGGAGUCCUGGAGAGGAAGGCGGAAUUCUCGGUGUAGAGGUGAAAUUCGUAGAUAUCGAGAGGAACACCGGUGGCGAAGGCGGCCUUCUGGACAGUGACUGACGCUGAGGCGCGAAAGCUAGGGGAGCAAACAGG
Molecule: ribosomal RNA, 253 nt
Filed under: uncultured bacterium
Lineage: Bacteria
Description: partial 16S ribosomal RNA
Rfam family: Bacterial small subunit ribosomal RNA
Source: RNAcentral